AUAUGGAGGGUGCGAGCGUUAAUCGGAAUUACUGGGCGUAAAGCGCGCGUAGGCGGCUAAGUAAGUCGGAUGUGAAAGCCCUGGGCUCAACCUGGGAAUUGCAUUCGAUACUGCUUGGCUAGAGUAUGGUAGAGGGUAGUGGAAUUCCUGGUGUAGCGGUGAAAUGCGUAGAUAUCAGGAGGAACAUCAGUGGCGAAGGCGGCUACCUGGACCAAUACUGACGCUAAGGUGCGAAAGCGUGGGGAGCAAACAGGAUUAGAAACCCCAGUAGUCC
Molecule: ribosomal RNA, 274 nt
Filed under: uncultured bacterium
Lineage: Bacteria
Description: partial 16S ribosomal RNA
Rfam family: Bacterial small subunit ribosomal RNA
Source: RNAcentral